This is a non-coding RNA of Sus scrofa (pig), 2066 nucleotides long. The record is from RefSeq and is a predicted model, not a curated record. Lineage: Eukaryota; Metazoa; Chordata; Mammalia; Artiodactyla; Suidae.
CAAAAAACCAGAUAAACGAAACAGUCAAGGCUCCUGUGAGCCUGCAUACCUCAAGGCGCCGCACAGGAGGACGCCACGGGGCCCAAGACAUGAGGCCGUCUCUUCCCCAGUGCAGCCAUGUCUAGGUGGGGACAGGGGACCAGAAGCAAAGAAAAGGAAGGGAAUGUCCUAGAACCAAACACCCUCAAUAAGCAUGCGGCAGCUUUUUUUUUUUUUUUUUUUUUUUUAAUGGCCACAGCAAUGGCGUAGGCAAGGUCCUGGGCCAGGAAGUGAAACUGAGCUGCAGCUGCUGACCUAUGCCACACUCACAGCAACGAUGCCAGGUCCUUUAACCCACUGCGCCGCAUUGGGGAUCAAACCGACGCCUCCACAGCAACACAAGCCGAUCUAGUCAGAUUCUUAACCCACUGCACCACAGCAGGAACUCUGAGAGCAGCAUUGUAAGCAAGUAGAAAACUUGAUCAAAUUUUCAUGUUGGAGAACCUGCUCUGGUUUGGGUGUGGGGAGCAGAUGAAAGGGAGGGAAGAGAGGACACAGGUGGUCCAGUGAGGGGGAGGAGCGCAGAGGAUGAUGCAGCCUGGACCAAGACAGAAGAUAGAGACAGGAGACUGAUAACCCAGAAACAUUCAGGAGGGGAGGUCAGCAGGAUCUGGUCCUGAAUCAGACAUGCAGCAUGAGAUGCACUGAGUUUUCUGAUUUAUGCAACUGUGGUGCUGUUUACAACAGUAGAAAAAAGAUGAGGUCUGGGGAAAAAAAUCAGGCUCUUGGUGUUAGAUGUUCAAGUUUUAGGUGGUUUAUAAACAUUCAUGAAGAAUGUCUAUAGCAGGAGUCGGCAAAGUUUUCUGUAAAGGACCAAAUGGUAAAUAAAAAUGCGGCUGUGAGGUCCAUGCAGUCUUUGCUGCAGCACUCGGCUCUGUCACUUCAGUGCACACACUCACAGAACAUAAGCCAAUGAGUGGGCGCAGCCUGUGCCAGUGACCUUUGGCCAGGCCAGCUCACCCCCCGAUUUAGCACUUCAGGGAAGGUGUCUGGAAUAGAAAUAUCCAUCAGUGAAUCUUUUGCGUCAGUUAAGUGAAUCCAUGAAUUAGACAAAACUGACUAUAAACCAAGGAGAAAUUCAGGAAAGAAGGUCCAACCUUGAGAAGCACCGACACUUAACAGCUGGGGAGGGAAGGAAAAGCCUGCAAAGAACACAGAACAGAGGGAACAGAGGGGUGGCAGGAACCGGAAAGUGUGUCACUGAAUGAGAACAAGGGAGUGGCAGCCCCAGGAUGGGCCUGGGGAGGCAGGAGGAGGCCCUAGGGAUCGUGCAGCAGGGCCCUCUGAGAAGGAAGAGCCAGGAGGCGGGUCUACUGCAGUGAACGGUCUUAUGAGAAGCUGAAGAUGCCAGAUAAUCAUUUUCCCAGCCUCUUUGCCACUGAAGAAAAAGCACCUGACCAGGACCCAGAGAGGCCUGUGCCCAUGCUGGGUGAGGACUCAUGGCCUAGGAGGCAGAGCCCAGAGAAGCCCCUCGUCGCAGGUAGUAGAGGCAGCGGGCGGGCAGCUGGCCAGGUUGCAGCUCUGCAGUGAUGGCUCCACGCGUCUGGGGGUGAUGCGGUGCCCCUAAUGGACCUGAGCUAGGGCACACCUGUGGGUGCAGCCUCACCUUGUUUCUGCCUAUUUUCCAAGCAGAAUUCUGCAGCUUUCCAGGUGUUGUGUAAACUACCUACCCUCUUCCUCCUCUGCUGUUUUAAUCCCCUUUGAUUCAAUCAGCAAAUGCUGUUUUACCUGCUUACAGUGAGAAAUCCUAACUGAUGUCCACAGGGAAAGGUUUGAAGGGACUACACUGGAUCUGAAAGCUUUUUACGGAAAGUGGGAGGCGGAGCUAAGUGGAAAGACUUGGCAGAACUGCAAUGUCACUGGGGAGACACAGGGGACAAGAGAGUCAGGAAGGCUGGGGCCAUACCAGAGCCAAGCUGCCUUUCGUGAGCAUUGCUGAAGCAGCGUUCACCAACUUGAGAGCAGACAGAACAAACUAGAUUAAUAAAGCAACAGAUCUGAGACACUCUCAAGGGAGAAAAAAAAAA